UCCACCCCCUGAGAUUUGGAUGGCCCCAACUGUUAGCCUUUCACAAGGCAUUGAAGACCUGGGUCGGCCAGGAGGGAGAUGAGCUCUGCUACUAUUGAUGGGGCUGAUAGGAGUUGAAGUGCAGCCACGUUUGGAGGAGUAUGAGUUUCCCAUUCCUGGACUAGAGGAUAUUACUACCUUGCCAAGCCAAUUCUGCUACUUUACAUUCAGGCUGUAGCUUACCCUGAAGGAAUGCCUGUGCAUCAGAGCUGGCGCAUUUUGCUGUCUUUUCAACCGUUUGCCUUCACAUCAUACACAGGCAAAUCAGCAGUACCUUUGCUACCUGUGACCACUAUCCAAAACACAAAGGCGUGAGCUAUUGAUUUCCAGCCAUCUCUCUAUUUUGAGAAACAGCAGGUCUGUAACCACCAGGCAAAUGGAAUUUGCUCCAAGGUUCAGAGGGUUGUUAAGCACCCCUGCUUUGAUACAUUCAGCUUAUCUUCGAGACAGGGCUUGUCUGUUCCCCCAGAUUUCUUUCCUUCUGCCAAUAUCAGGAACAAAAAACAGGUAAAAAAACUUGUAAAUCAGGAAGUUGAGGCUGUGUCAAAAUUAUUGCCCUCAUGAGGCAAUCUCUUUGCAGCCCUUUGUGCCUUGAAUAAAUAACAUGUUGUAAAGUCAGACUGUGCAAUUCUUAUGGACAUCAUGCAUCCUGGACUUUAUGCACCGCUUAGCAGCAACUUCGAGUCUGUGCCGAUCUUGCUUUAGAAAUCUUUUACCUAAUCCAUUUACUGCCCUUUUGCAAUGUGAUUAGUCUAUGUAAGAAAUCCCAAAUCUGAUCAGACACAUUUAUAUGAGUGCAAGCAAAAGGUUGCAGAGAAAAGCAAUUUUACCACCAUAUGUUCAUGCAGGGGAUUUGGCCACCAUGUCAUCCUGGGAAAGCUGUGCCUUUAGGCAUCUGGUCUGCCUCAAAGUUGUGCUAUCCUGCACUUUUGCUCUCUUCUGCUUUUAUUUGUUCAGGCUGCAAGUCUGUGUUCAUAGAACAUUCUUACUCAUGGUUAACUUAAUAAAGGUUUACUCAAUUUUCUGGGUUAGCAUGAUAUACUGGCUGGCUUCCCACAAUGCAUUAAACAACUUUAAACCUCUGAAGGGUUCUCUGUUCAUUCUUUGAUUCUUUGUUAGAUUUAUAUUUUGCCUUUCCUCCUGGAGCUCAAGGAGGAAUACAUAGUGCUUCAUCCUCUCUUUUAUCCACACAGCAACA
Molecule: long non-coding RNA, 1237 nt
Organism: Python bivittatus (Burmese python)
Lineage: Eukaryota; Metazoa; Chordata; Lepidosauria; Squamata; Pythonidae
Source: RefSeq, a predicted model, not a curated record